ACCAGGGCUGGAACUUGGUGCCCCAUCUCUCAGGCCUGGGGCUCCCCUGUGCGUUCAUUAAUAAAUAUCUGCAGAGCACCUACAGGUGCAAGGCGCUGAGCUAGGACUGAGAGAGCAAAGGCUUCGAGGCAAGAGUGAUCAUGGCCUUUUGAGAAAAACGAACUCAGCCAAACUCAGGGAGGAAGAAAGCAGUGAGAAAUGGGGGCAAAGAGUUAAUCAGGAAUCAGGUGAUGAAAGGGCCUCACAUGCUAUGUCAAGCCAAGGUAUUUGGGUAUUACCCCAGGGGCAAGGUAGACCACCAAAUGGUUUAAGCUUUCGCGCACAUGCGUGUGUACAUGUGCGCGCAUGCUUGCGCAGUAAGAUUUGCCCUUUAGAGAAGUCCCUCUGGUCGCAGUGGGGACAGCGGAUGACGGAUGAAAGCAGGAGCGGUGAGACGGGCGGGAGACGACUGUGACCACACAGUUCGGUCCCCCAGCUCCAAGGUAGGCGUCUCUCCUUGUUCGGAGCUGUUGCUACUGUUGCCGUUAUAAGGAGAAUGGACUUGGUGCUUGAAGCGGCGCAGCAUGAUCAGGUAGAUGAAGCCGCCAUUCCAGCACUGCUCAGCCAGGAUUCUUACCCACCAUUAGAAUAUUUAAACUUCAAAGCCAACAUUAGAGAAACCAGAAACGAAAUACAAUCACGUGACUUAGAAAAAUAGAAGGUCUCCUCUUCGUUAACACCAGGUAAAAUUAGCUUUUCAGAAGCUUCUCUACCAUACGAUUAUUUUUUGGUUUCUUCCAAAAAUUUGAAACUGUCCUCUGGCAUGUAAAAUUAUGCACUCAAUUCAAUUAAAAUUUAU
Molecule: long non-coding RNA, 838 nt
Organism: Physeter macrocephalus (sperm whale)
Lineage: Eukaryota; Metazoa; Chordata; Mammalia; Artiodactyla; Physeteridae
Exons: 3
Source: RefSeq, a predicted model, not a curated record